CUCUCAAGUCGACAACUCAGGAAGAAAAAGACGCAGAAACAUCAAACAAUAGUGAGGAAGAUGAGGACUUGGCCCUGAUUAUCAACAAAUUUAGAUGCUUCAUGAGGAGAAAAAGAUAAGGGACUAAGAGAACUCCACCAGUCAAGGGAGAGUCGAGUAAAGAAAAAAAAUAGUCCAUUAUCUGCUAUGAAUGCAAGAAGCCGGACCACU
RNAcentral lists this long non-coding RNA (210 nucleotides) under Elaeis guineensis (African oil palm). RNAcentral's name for it is "long non-coding RNA (EGUI_LNC030035)". Lineage: Eukaryota; Viridiplantae; Streptophyta; Magnoliopsida; Arecales; Arecaceae. The record is from RNAcentral.